GGUGAAGGAACAGUAACAUGAUGGAGGAACAGUAACAUGAUGGAGGUGAAGGAACAGUAACAUGAUGGAGGUGAAGGAACAGUAACAUGAUGGAGGUGAAGGAACAGUAACAUGAUGGAGGUGAAGGAACAGUAACAUGAUGGAGGAACAGUAACAUGAUGGAGGUGAAGGAACAGUAACAUGAUGGAGGUGAAGGAACAGUAACAUGAUGGAGGUGAAGGAACAGUAACAUGAUGGAGGAACAGUAACAUGAUGGAGGUGAAGGAACAGUAACAUGAUGGAGGUGAAGGAACAGUAACAUGAGGUGAAGGAACAGUAACAU
This is a long non-coding RNA of Oncorhynchus tshawytscha (Chinook salmon), 322 nucleotides long. RefSeq lists it as uncharacterized. The record is from RefSeq and is a predicted model, not a curated record. The transcript has 3 exons. NCBI's taxonomy places the organism in Eukaryota, Metazoa, Chordata, Actinopteri, Salmoniformes, Salmonidae.